RNAcentral lists this ribosomal RNA (429 nucleotides) under Actinomycetes bacterium. RNAcentral's name for it is "Actinobacteria bacterium partial 16S ribosomal RNA". It matches the Rfam family "Bacterial small subunit ribosomal RNA", at positions 355 to 776 of the family's 1533-position model. The record is from RNAcentral. Lineage: Bacteria; Bacillati; Actinomycetota; Actinomycetes.
UAGGGAAUCUUCCGCAAUGGGCGAAAGCCUGACGGAGCAACGCCGCGUGAGUGAUGAAGGUCUUCGGAUCGUAAAACUCUGUUAUUAGGGAAGAACAAAUGUGUAAGUAACUAUGCACGUCUUGACGGUACCUAAUCAGAAAGCCACGGCUAACUACGUGCCAGCAGCCGCGGUAAUACGUAGGUGGCAAGCGUUAUCCGGAAUUAUUGGGCGUAAAGCGCGCGUAGGCGGUUUUUUAAGUCUGAUGUGAAAGCCCACGGCUCAACCGUGGAGGGUCAUUGGAAACUGGACAACUUGAGUGCAGAAGAGGAAAGUGGAAUUCCAUGUGUAGCGGUGAAAUGCGCAGAGAUAUGGAGGCACACCAGUGGCGAAGGCGACUUUCUGGUCUGUAACUGACGCUGAUGUGCGAAAGCGUGGGGAUCAAACAGG